This is a long non-coding RNA of Girardinichthys multiradiatus, 387 nucleotides long. RefSeq lists it as uncharacterized. The transcript is spliced from 2 exons. The record is from RefSeq and is a predicted model, not a curated record. Lineage: Eukaryota; Metazoa; Chordata; Actinopteri; Cyprinodontiformes; Goodeidae.
UUCACCUGCUCCUUCCCAGCCAGCUCCCUAAUUACUCCUCAUCUGCUCCACCUGUGCUCCUGCCUUUAUAUACAGCUCUCUACCAGUCAACCAGUGCCAGAUUUUCAAAAGCCUUUGUAUUUCCCCGCUCUGCCUUGCCCACGUCGGACACUUCAUUGGCUUUUGCUUUCUGGACAAACGACCUUGCUUCUGCCUCCUGACCAACCCUCUCUGCCUAAUGUUUGGAUCCGUAUGCCUGAAUAUGCCUCCCCCGUUCAUGACCUCACUUCUGUGCCUUCUUCGCUCAACCACCAACCAGUCUGUCUGUCUCCAGAGGUUCCUGUGGCUAACACUGGUGGUUUCUUGCCAAAUGCCUUCCAGAAAGAUCAAUAAAUCUUUUAAAACUUA